RNAcentral lists this ribosomal RNA (817 nucleotides) under uncultured archaeon. Its description in RNAcentral is "partial 16S ribosomal RNA". The record is from RNAcentral.
ACGACUUACUCCCCCUCGCUGAACCGAAGUGGAGCGCCCCGGAUGAGGCACCCUCACUCCGACCCAAGUCGGAUGACUUGACGGGCGGUGUGUGCAAAGAGCAGGGGCAAAUUCACCGCGGGAUGUUGACCCGCGAUUACUACGGAAUCCAUUUUCACGAGGGCGAGUUACAGCCCUCGAUCCAAACUACGAUGGGGUUUCAGGAUUGCCUCCCCCUUUGGAGGUCGGGUCCCAUUGUCCCCACCUUUGUAGCGCGCGUGUUGCCCGGAGUAUUCGGGGCAUACGGACCUACCGGAGACCUCUCCUUCCUCUGCCUUAACGGCAGCGAUCCCGCUAGUGUGCUCCUACAAUCGCUUGUAAAAUCGCGACUAACGGCGAGGGUCUCGUUCGUUAUCUGACUUAACAGAACGCCUUACGGUACAAACUGACUAAGGACAUGCACCACCUCUCGGAGAAUCGGGCAAGGUCUUCGGCCUGGCUUUCAUCCCUCCGUCGCCUCCGGUGAGUUUUCCGGCGUUGAAUCCAAUUGAACCGCACGCUCCUCCCGUUGCGGUGCUCUCCGGGCAAUUCCUUUAAGUUUCAGACUUGCGUCCGUACUCCCCAGGCGGUCAGCUUAACGGCUUCUCUGCGGGACCACGAUGCCCCGAAGGCGUCGUGUCACCUAGCUCGCAUCUGAUAUCGCUGAGAGUAUGCGGGUAUCUAAUCCGGAUCGCUGCCCGCUCUCUCCUCCCUCACCGCACGAGCGCGAUCUGGCGCACCGGCUUCUGCAUUGGUGAUCUUGCAGGGGAUCACAUGACUAUAGCACCUACCUGCUGAG